Molecule: RNA transcript, 2598 nt
Organism: Solanum stenotomum
Lineage: Eukaryota; Viridiplantae; Streptophyta; Magnoliopsida; Solanales; Solanaceae
Gene name: F-box/kelch-repeat protein At3g23880-like
Exons: 3
Source: RefSeq, a predicted model, not a curated record
ACUCCACAACAGCUGUGACUAGUACACUUUGGGAAAAUUUCAGUCUCGGUAAGCAUACGGAGCUCAAGUUUGUGGAAACCCAAAUGGAAUCUGAGGGAGAUGAAGACACCCAUCAACCCCCAAAAUGGAGUAGACCUACAAAACAAGCUCAAUUUUCUUCAACUUCAGAGAAAGAUUCCUUCUUGACAAUUCCUGUUCUUCCAGAAGAACUCAUCACUGAAAUCCUCUUAAGGCUUCCAGUGGAACCCCUUUUGAAAUUCAGGUCUGUUUCGAAGUCUUGGCUUGCUUUGAUCUCUAGCCCUGAAUUUGUCAAGAGCCAUCUUAGUGUAUCUGCUAAUAACAAAGAUUACACUCACCACAGGGUGAUGCGUAGUUUUAGAGGUACAUUAGAUCUUAAAGAUUAUACUCUUAGUUCUUUAUUUUCUGAGUCUGUUACGGAGGUAUUUGACUUGAAUUAUCGCAUGACAUCUGAUGGAUUGUAUAACGAAUGGCCUCACUCUGUAAUGAUUCUAGGUUCCGUAAAUGGAUUGAUUUGUCUUGUGGGUGAGAGAUAUGAUUUGUUUCUAUGGAAUCCAUCAAAUAGAAAGUACAAGAAAUUGCCUGAUCCUACAUCUACAAUGUGGUUUGAGCAAGGGCGAAUUUAUGGUUUUGGAUAUGAUGAGUUUCAUGAUGACUAUAAGCUAGUGGAUGGCUUUUGUAGUGAUGACAAAUCCGGUCUAGGUGGGCUCAAAAUAUAUAGUUUAAAUAGUGAUUCUUGGGGAAGUGUUGAUGAUCGUCAAAGUCAGGACGAAAUCGAUGUUUCAGGUAAGUUUGUGAAGGGGAAACUUCACUGGCCUACAGCUACUGUUGAUCAUCUAAUUAUUAACUACAAGGAUUGGAAUAUCAUUUCUUUUGAUUUGGCUAAUGAGAAAUGGGGAGAAGUGGAGCAUCCUUGCUAUAGAGAGGGAGAUAUUGCUUUGAUCCUGGGAGUGUUAGGAAGUGAUCUUUCUGUUUUUUGUGAUUAUAGUAGCUCUCAUGUAGAUGUUUGGGUCAUGAAAGAGUAUGGGGUUAAAGAAUCUUGGACAAAAAUGUUUACCAUCAAUUAUCCUGAUCAUCUAGUUGGGUAUGGUCAUGCACUUUCUCGGCCUUCUUUCAUUUCAAAUAAAGGUGAGAUUUUGGUCGUGUUUAUUUCAGCUUCUGUGAUAUGCAACCCGAAGGAUGCUUCAUUAAGAUAUUCAAAGGCUAUCAACUUUUAUGACUAUCCUAAGGUAGCACUCUAUGUUGAAAGUCUAGUUUGUCCUUUUUCUAGAUAAGGUGUUACGGAUGCAACAAAAGACAAAAGGCUGAAAAAGCUCAGAUCAAGAAAACCGAGUAACAAAUAACUUUUUUUAUUUUGUCCUUGCUCCUACAGUCGUAGUUACUAGCUGUGUUUUUCUUCAGAUGGAGUACUCAUAAAGAGGACCAGGGACAUGGAAAUAAUGGCAGCAGAAUGUGCCUAAUCCUUGCUGGGGUAGUGUUUGAUCUCGGGUGUACUUUUACUUGUCUUCUUAGGUGAAACUUAAUAGGGAAAAAGACGGAUUUAAAUCUUUGUUUAAGAUGAUGCUGUCUUCUAAUUACUGAAGUUCAACUCUUUUCGUCUUUGUUAUUUUAAAUAAGAUGUGUCCCUGCUAUAAAGAAUUCUCUAUCUUGUUGCCAAAUAGUGUAGCAAAUUGUAUCUGUAACUUGACUUUUCUAAGAACUCUCAAGUGCUAUGGUGAUGUAUUACCAAGUAAGAAAUUAAUAGCCUUGUUUAAUGCAUUUUACGGAAGGUCUAUUUUGUCUGAUAUCAAUGUACUAGCAUGAUUGUGUGACUUCUGACCGAAGUCAAUGUAGCCGAGUAUGUACUAACAAGGAAAUUUUGCUAAUCCUUUUAGGAAAAUCAUUUCAAGAAUUUGGUACAUAUGGAUUAACUAAUUCUUGUGGUUCACUUUGUUGAUUUCAAUCCUUUGUCUGACACUAAUUUGAGGGAACAAUACGAGGGACAAAUGUUUACUCAGUAACUGAGAGAACAAUAAGAGGGGUGAAAUGAGUCGUAACUGAGGUAACUUUAAUUGUACAUUUUGUGGAAACAAUACGAGGGACAAAUGUUGAAAAGCCAAAAGGUUUGUGUGUGGAAAUUCUUGCGAGUUAGAUUUUAUGAAGCUGUGGAGGGUCAUGCUUUCUGUGAAGUGCUCCAGCUCUGAAUCAAAUUACCCAUUUUGGGCGGGUCAAUAUGUUACAUGGGGAUCAACAUGAGUAUAUCUUGUGACCCUUUCUUAAGUUUUUAUUUUCUUUUGCUAUUUUUAAAUAGACUACGCCAAACCAUUUGUGCACCGUUUUCAUGCAGUGUAGACUUGAGAUUACUUAACUACCUUAUUUUUGUUCAUCUUCACUAUUUAGAAUGUGAACUGAAGCACCUUUGAUAUUUUUCAAAUGUUGGGAAAUGGAGCUCGUCUCUUUGCUCAAAUAAGGCCAGCUUGUGUUUAGUACAUGUUAAAUGUAAAAUGUGCCGGAGCUAGCUCUUCAUGUGUUGCUUUCUAGAUCUACCUUGCUUUUACUUAUCAUAUGAGAUGUCAGUGAGGUUUUUUUGCAAUUUUUUCU